GACGAACGCUGGCGGCGUGCUUAACACAUGCAAGUCGAACGGAAAGGCCCUGCUUUUGUGGGGUGCUCGAGUGGCGAAUGGGUGAGUAACACGUGAGUAACCUGCCCUUGACUUUGGGAUAACUUCAGGAAACUGGGGCUAAUACCGGAUAGGAGCUCCUGCUGCAUGGUGGGGGUUGGAAAGUUUCGGCGGUUGGGGAUGGACUCGCGGCUUAUCAGCUUGUUGGUGGGGUAGUGGCUUACCAAGGCUUUGACGGGUAGCCGGCCUGAGAGGGUGACCGGCCUCAUUGGGACUGAGAUACGGCCCAGACUCCUACGGGAGGCAGCAGUGGGGAAUAUUGCACAAUGGGCGGAAGCCUGAUGCAGCAACGCCGCGUGCGGGAUGACGGCCUUCGGGUUGUAAACCGCUUUCGCCUGUGACGAAGCGUGAGUGACGGUAAUGGGUAAAGAAGCACCGGCUAACUACGUG
Molecule: ribosomal RNA, 468 nt
Filed under: uncultured bacterium
Lineage: Bacteria
Description: partial 16S ribosomal RNA
Rfam family: Bacterial small subunit ribosomal RNA
Source: RNAcentral